Molecule: transfer RNA, 74 nt
Filed under: Candidatus Wolfebacteria bacterium
Lineage: Bacteria; Candidatus Wolfeibacteriota
Description: tRNA-Gly
Rfam family: tRNA
About the family: Transfer RNA (tRNA) molecules are approximately 80 nucleotides in length. Their secondary structure includes four short double-helical elements and three loops (D, anti-codon, and T loops).
Source: RNAcentral
GCGGAAUUCGUAUAGUGGUAGUACACGUCCUUGCCAAGGACGAGGCGCCGGUCCGAUUCCGGUAUUCCGCUCAA